AUUAUUAGGUGAUCGAGGUCAGCCAUUUUUCUGCAUCCAGCAGCCACAAUAGUCAUCGGUGUACUGCCACAGGAGGAGUUAUUUUACAGAGCAACCUGUUUUCUUCCUCGCAGGUUUAACGUCGAUUAUUUAAUUGUUUUACUAUCUUUUCUAAAUUUAAAAUCUAGAACUCCGCAUGUGUUAGUAAUAGUGUGGACCUUGUUAGAAAUUGUGUUAAUUUAAAUUUUUGAGAUUAAUAAAUGAAGAUUUGUAUGGUA
This is a long non-coding RNA of Hevea brasiliensis (rubber tree), 257 nucleotides long. RefSeq lists it as uncharacterized. Lineage: Eukaryota; Viridiplantae; Streptophyta; Magnoliopsida; Malpighiales; Euphorbiaceae. The transcript has 2 exons. The record is from RefSeq and is a predicted model, not a curated record.